UACGGAGGGUGCGAGCGUUGUUCGGAAUCACUGGGCGUAAAGCGCGUGUAGGCGGCCUGCUAAGUCUGAUGUGAAAGCCCGAGGCUCACCCUCGGAAGUGCAUUGGAAACUGGCAGACUGGAGUCCCGGAGAGGAGGGUGGAAUUCCUGGUGUAGCGGUGAAAUGCGUAGAUAUCAGGAGGAACACCAAUGGCGAAGGCAGCUCGCUGGGACGUGACUGACGCUGAGACGCGAAAGCGUGGGGAGCAAACAGG
This 253-nucleotide ribosomal RNA is filed under the name uncultured bacterium. RNAcentral's name for it is "partial 16S ribosomal RNA". It matches the Rfam family "Bacterial small subunit ribosomal RNA", at positions 524 to 776 of the family's 1533-position model. The record is from RNAcentral.